Rattus rattus (black rat) is the source of this 1311-nucleotide long non-coding RNA. RefSeq lists it as uncharacterized. The record is from RefSeq and is a predicted model, not a curated record. Lineage: Eukaryota; Metazoa; Chordata; Mammalia; Rodentia; Muridae. The transcript is spliced from 4 exons.
GAUGGGGUAGAUGUUGGGGUCGGCCAACUCAAAGCUCUGGACCUGGGCCUGAGCUAGUCAGGCUGCCUGCUCUCCCACACCCACCACAGGGCGAGCUCUGCAGCACUGGCUUCCCUAGCUCACCAGUGCCGAAGCUGGCAGAGGAAAGAACCACCCACACCCAUGUCAGCAGGGCCAGCUCCAUUGUUCUACCCAGGGGAGGUGCAGGGCCUGCUCUCUCAAGUGCUGUAGGUAGCAGGAGGUGAGGAGGGAGGAGGCCAUCUCUUCUUUACACAAAUGGUGGCCGUUCUUAUUCAAACCUCCACACAUAGGAAGAAUAUCUUGACAGAAGUAUAUGGUGAGCUCAAACUACUCACUUGGUCAUGAGUCAGGAUGAGAAAACGGAAGGAAAGAAAGAAGGGCUGAGUGCCCACUGGGUACUGUGAUGCUCUUAGCACUGCCUUCUUAAAGUACCCAGCUAGGGACAAGACCUUAAAUACACAGGCCUUUGGGGGACACUUAUCCGAAUUAUAGCAAUGUAUAGUCUCUCUGGGCUUCAAAUAAACAGAUCCUUUGUUUUUAAUGAAUUCUAUAAAAUUCUAUAGAAAGACUAAGUGGACCUCAUAUUGAACAAUGCCAUUGAGAAUUCCUAACUCUCCUUAUCAGUUAACAUGUAUCUUGUAGCUGUCAAUCAUUUCCCUAUUCUUUUCAGUUCCACUGACUUUGAAGUUGAGGAAGGAGGAUCACAAGCUCAAGCCCAGACUGGGCAUCUUGGGGGUGGUUCAAGAUGUAGCUCAAUGAUCCUGGUUCAGUACUCAAGUAGACUUUCACGCUGGUGAUUGGCAAGGAACCUCAGAGAGAGGUGGGGCCAGCUGCAAAGAACUCUGGGAGGCCGGAGAUGAAUGGCCGCACAGAUUCCACAGAGAGGGUCUGCGCGCUGGCAGCUGGUGGCCAAAGGCUGCCGUCUGGCCAGGAAGGAAGGCCACUGGGCAAGCCCCGGUCUCCAGGUACCCCCUGGUAUCUUGGCUCCCUGCACCUCCCAGGAUGAGGCAGCUGCUGCCACUUCUCUUGCCAGGAGGUCAGAGCCAGGCUCCCCCAAAGCCAGUGACAUGUUCUCACGCCCUCCAGCCCUGCAGCUCGUCCCUUGCCGGAGACUCUGAACAGAAGCUCUGUGAGCGGUCUGUGUGCCUCUGUGACUAGCAGAAACUGUGAUAUAAAGACAUUGCUUCCCUCACACUGGAAGUCCCAGGGUACUAACCUCGCCGUGUUCAGCUGUCUUUGGGCCAAAUGCACUUUGUCAGUCUUUACUCACAGACGCCAGAUGUGGGAAAG